CCUACGGGGGGCAGCAGUGGGGAAUAUUGGACAAUGGGGGGAACCCUGAUCCAGCGACGCCGCGUGAGUGAAGAAGUAUUUCGGUAUGUAAAGCUCUAUCAGCAGGGAAGAAAGAAAUGACGGUACCUGACUAAGAAGCCGCGGCUAACUACGUGCCAGCAGCCGCGGUAAUACGUAGGGGGAAAGCGUUAUCCGGAUUUACUGGGUGUAAAGGGAGCGUAGACGGCGAUGCAAGUCUGAAGUGAAAGGCGGGGGCCCAACCCCUGGACUGCUUUGGAAACUGGAUGGCUGGAGUGCAGGAGAGGUAAGUGGAAUUCCUGGUGUAGCGGUGAAAUGCGUAGAGAUUAGGAGGAACACCAGUGGCGAAGGCGGCUUACUGGACUGUAACUGACGCUGAGGCUCGAAAGCGUGGGGAGCAAACAGGAUUAGAUACCCGUGUAGUC
RNAcentral lists this ribosomal RNA (443 nucleotides) under uncultured bacterium. Its description in RNAcentral is "partial 16S ribosomal RNA". It matches the Rfam family "Bacterial small subunit ribosomal RNA", at positions 338 to 795 of the family's 1533-position model. The record is from RNAcentral.